Molecule: long non-coding RNA, 439 nt
Organism: Suricata suricatta (meerkat)
Lineage: Eukaryota; Metazoa; Chordata; Mammalia; Carnivora; Herpestidae
Exons: 3
Source: RefSeq, a predicted model, not a curated record
UUGACUCUUCACAGCUGAAAGGUAAAUGGACACUGUAUUUCCAAAGAUGUUCUUUUGAUUCAGAACUCCAAGAGAUCUUGACAUCAAAAUCUUAUAGCAAAUGACUGUCACAUAUCAAAUGUGUACGUCAUGACAAGUCUACUUUCUUAUGGCUUUACAUUUUAUCUACAAGAAAACAAAUAUGAAAUGAAUGAGAAAAUUGGAGUAAUGAAAAUUUGGGAACCAUCUAGAAUAAUGUUACAACCUGGAGAGUGGUGAAGGGGAAAGUGCAAAGCAAGGACAAGACAGAAAAGAUCAGUGUGUAAAGAUUUGCUUAAUUGUUCCAAGGGACAACAAACAAGGAAGAAAAAAUUCCCAGAACAAUGUCACUGUAAAUAUACUGGACAUCUUCGAGAACUGUCAAAUUCCUUCUAGGAAACAAAUAAAAGCCUUGUUACUC